AAGUCAUGGCAAGAAUAACUACAAAUUUGAUUUGCACACUGAAGUACAUAUAAAUAAAAUGAUUUUUACUUUUAUAUGAAUUUAAAACUAACAUUAACCUUGCAUUGUAUUGUGUUCAGUAUUUUUCAAAAGUUCAUCUAUUUGUACAAACUUAGUUUAAAAAACAAACAUACCUGGCAACUUUAAAAUCUUAAUGGAAAUGAUUUCCUAUCUCUUUUUUAGGCAACAAGUAACAGAAAUUAUAUUUGUUUUAAAAGCCGUCAGUACUCUUAUUGAUUCACUUAAGAAAACUCAGCCUGAGAAUGUUGAUGGAAAUACCUGGGCACAAGUAAUUGCCUUAUACCCAACUUUAGUAGAAUGCAUCACCUGCUCUUCUUCAGAAGUCUGUUCUGCACUUAAAGAGGCACUAGUUCCUUUUAAGGAUUUCAUGCAACCACCAGCAUCCAGAGUUCAAAAUGGAGAAUCUUGACCGGCUACAGUAUAUUUGAAAGAAGGAAGAUAUUCUAAAAAAUGUUUGCUCCUAACUGAGUCUUCUGUGAGAAGGACAUUUCUUACUGCAAAUAAUUCUUGGCAGCUGU
This 578-nucleotide small RNA is filed under the name Pongo abelii (Sumatran orangutan). RNAcentral describes it as "retained intron". Lineage: Eukaryota; Metazoa; Chordata; Mammalia; Primates; Hominidae. The record is from RNAcentral.